Molecule: long non-coding RNA, 393 nt
Filed under: Setaria viridis
Lineage: Eukaryota; Viridiplantae; Streptophyta; Magnoliopsida; Poales; Poaceae
Description: long non-coding RNA (SVIR_LNC007750)
Source: RNAcentral
CAUGCUCAAGGACGAGCAUUGUCUAAGCAGGGGGAAGGAGUCAUCACAUUAUCUCUGACUAUUGCUGAGUAAAGUACUAUGUUGCAAGAAGUUUGAGGAGCAAAAAUAAAAAAAUGAGGAAAAAGAAAGAAAGAAGAAAGAAGAGAAAAAGGAAUGAAAAAGAAAAAAAAUAUAAAGAAGAAAAAGAAUAAAAUGCUCCUCGGUUCUUUGAGCCUCAUUAAAGUUCCUAGUGCUCUCAAGAUUAAGGAUUGACCCAUACUCAUUUUCGAACCAUGUGCAAUCUGAUACGAGAACUUCAUUGGUUUGACAAUCUCUAAAUGUGUGUGUUUCAUCCCUCUCCCUCUCCAGCAUUUAUUUUCCAUAGCCUUUUUGACAAGUCUUGGUAAUCCCAAU